This 779-nucleotide ribosomal RNA is filed under the name Leuconostoc mesenteroides. Its description in RNAcentral is "bacterial SSU rRNA". It matches the Rfam family "Bacterial small subunit ribosomal RNA", at positions 92 to 858 of the family's 1533-position model. The record is from RNAcentral. Lineage: Bacteria; Bacillati; Bacillota; Bacilli; Lactobacillales; Lactobacillaceae.
UGAGUGGCGAACGGGUGAGUAACACGUGGACAACCUGCCUCAAGGCUGGGGAUAACAUUUGGAAACAGAUGCUAAUACCGAAUAAAACUUAGUGUCGCAUGACAAAAAGUUAAAAGGCGCUUCGGCGUCACCUAGAGAUGGAUCCGCGGUGCAUUAGUUAGUUGGUGGGGUAAAGGCCUACCAAGACAAUGAUGCAUAGCCGAGUUGAGAGACUGAUCGGCCACAUUGGGACUGAGACACGGCCCAAACUCCUACGGGAGGCUGCAGUAGGGAAUCUUCCACAAUGGGCGAAAGCCUGAUGGAGCAACGCCGCGUGUGUGAUGAAGGCUUUCGGGUCGUAAAGCACUGUUGUAUGGGAAGAACAGCUAGAAUAGGAAAUGAUUUUAGUUUGACGGUACCAUACCAGAAAGGGACGGCUAAAUACGUGCCAGCAGCCGCGGUAAUACGUAUGUCCCGAGCGUUAUCCGGAUUUAUUGGGCGUAAAGCGAGCGCAGACGGUUUAUUAAGUCUGAUGUGAAAGCCCGGAGCUCAACUCCGGAAUGGCAUUGGAAACUGGUUAACUUGAGUGCAGUAGAGGUAAGUGGAACUCCAUGUGUAGCGGUGGAAUGCGUAGAUAUAUGGAAGAACACCAGUGGCGAAGGCGGCUUACUGGACUGCAACUGACGUUGAGGCUCGAAAGUGUGGGUAGCAAACAGGAUUAGAUACCCUGGUAGUCCACACCGUAAACGAUGAACACUAGGUGUUAGGAGGUUUCCGCCUCUUAGUGCCGAAGCUAACGC